CUAUAUGGCCAUACCACCCUGAAUAGCCCAAUAUCAUGUGAUCUUGGAAAGUAAACAGGAUUGGGCCUGGCUAGCACUGAAUGGG
Molecule: ribosomal RNA, 85 nt
Filed under: Jaculus jaculus (lesser Egyptian jerboa)
Lineage: Eukaryota; Metazoa; Chordata; Mammalia; Rodentia; Dipodidae
Source: RNAcentral